UGAUCACCAGGGCGGCAGCGGAUCAACCCCGUGCGCCAAACUGUCGACUCUAACAGACCGAAACGGUUCCCUGCGAGUAGGCUCCUUCAUUGGGGUUGAAAGCGCUUACGCAUCAACCAUAUGCAUACGGGACGUCGGUCAAAGUUACUGUGAACAAACCAGCGUGUCCAAAACAGGCUUUCGCCUGAAUGUUCGAGCAUGGAAUAACAAGGGAUCGAUUCUCUCGGUUCUUUUUUGUUGGUUUUAAACCCGAGAAGGAGUAAUUCAGGCCACGGUGUCUGAGUUGGGUUCCCCUUCACCUCGGUGGAGGCCCCAAUUAGGCCGUGUCCUUACGGGAUCAAUAGGGACUGACGGGGUCGUACGUACUUCUACGUCAGAGGUGAGAUUCUUAGAUCGUAGGAAGACGAACUUCUGCGAAAGCAUUCGACAAGAAUGUCUUCAUUAAUCAAGAACGAGAGUGUGGGGAUCGAAGAUGAUCAGAUACCGUCGUAGUCCACUACUGUAAACAAUGCCGUCUCAGGAUUGAGAAGCGAACAGAAUGACUUUCACAGCACUAACCCCUGAAACGAGAAAUCAAAGAUUAUGGGUUCAGGGGGGAGUACAUUCGCAAGGCUGAAACUUAAAGGAAUUGACGGAAUG
This 639-nucleotide ribosomal RNA is filed under the name uncultured marine eukaryote. Its description in RNAcentral is "bacterial SSU rRNA". It matches the Rfam family "Eukaryotic small subunit ribosomal RNA", at positions 726 to 1163 of the family's 1831-position model. The record is from RNAcentral.